This is a non-coding RNA of Pelobates cultripes (western spadefoot toad), 631 nucleotides long. Lineage: Eukaryota; Metazoa; Chordata; Amphibia; Anura; Pelobatidae. The record is from the annotation of a GenBank genome assembly.
CUUUUCUUUACCCCCUUGCGUCACACACUCACUCGCUCAUACACACACACACUGACCAUUACACACACACACACACUGCUAAUACACACACACUGGCUCUAACGCACACAGUCUCUUACACACUUGGACAGCUUAUACACACUCACCGGCUCUAACAGACACACACAAACAGUCUCUUACACACACUGCUUAUACACACUCACUAGCUGUAACACACACACAGUCUCUCACACACACAGUCUCUCACACACACACACUGCUUUACACUCACACAGUCUCUUACACACACACAGUUUAUAGACACACACACACACUAACUCUUACACACACACUGGCUAUAACACGCACACACACACACACACACACUAGCUCUUACAUACACACACUGGCUCUAACACACACACAUUAACACACACACAUUAACACACACACACACUAACUCUUACACACACACAAACUCUUACACACACACACUGGCUCUAACACACACACACAUACUGGCUCUAACACGCACACACACUAACUCUUACAUACACACACUGGCUUUAACACACACAAACUCUUACACACACACACACACACUGGCUGUAACACACACACAUACUGGCUCUAACACGCACACACACUAACU